Molecule: ribosomal RNA, 479 nt
Filed under: uncultured bacterium
Lineage: Bacteria
Description: bacterial SSU rRNA
Rfam family: Bacterial small subunit ribosomal RNA
Source: RNAcentral
AAAUGAAUUGACGGGGGAGCGCACAACCAGUGGAGCGUGUGGUUUAAUUCGAUACAAAGCGAAAAACCUUACCUGGGUUUGACAUGGUUGCGUAUGUUUUUUAUGAAAGUAGAAAACCUUCAGCAUUCACAGCUGCUGCAUGGCUGUCGUCAGCUCGUGCCGUGGGGUGUCGGCUUCAGUGCCGUAACGAGCGCAACCCCUGUUCUGUGUUACAUUGUUCACAGGAGACUGCCCCGCGCAUAGCGGGGAGGAAGGAGGGGAUGAUGUCAAGUCAGCAUGGCGCUUAUAUCCAGGGCUACACACACCCUACAAUGGGAUGGACAACAGGUUGCCAAGCCGCGAGGCGGAGCUAAUCCUUCAAACCAUCCCUCAGUUGGGAUUGCAGGCUGCAAUUCGUCUGCAUGAACUUGGAAUUGGUAGUAAUCGCGGAUCAGCAGGUCGCGGUGAAUACGUUCUCGCUCCUUGUACACACCGCCCGU